GACAAGAAAUAACAAUACGGGGCCUAAAGUCUUGUAAUUGGAAUGAUGGGAAUUUAAACCUCUUCCAGAGUAUCAAUUGGAGGGCAAGUCUGGUGCCAGCAGCCGCGGUAAUUCCAGCUCCAAUAGCGUAUAUUAAAAUUGUUGCAGUUAAAAAGCUCGUAGUUGAAUUUCUGCUGCAUUGUGUGUCCCUCUGGGGUCUGUGCAUGUGGCUUUUUUCGGACGGAGUUUCUUUGUCUGAAUGUUUACUUUGAGAAAAUUAGAGUGCUCAAAGCAGGCUUUCGCCUUGAAUAGUUUAGCAUGGAAUAAUAAAGUAGGACUUUGGUUCUAUUUUGUUGGUUUUAGGUACCAAAGUAAUGGUUAAUAGGAACAGUUGGGGGCAUUCGUAUUUAACUGUCAGAGGUGAAAUUCUUAG
RNAcentral lists this ribosomal RNA (412 nucleotides) under Theileria annulata. RNAcentral's name for it is "SSU rRNA". It matches the Rfam family "Eukaryotic small subunit ribosomal RNA", at positions 469 to 923 of the family's 1831-position model. The record is from RNAcentral. Lineage: Eukaryota; Apicomplexa; Aconoidasida; Piroplasmida; Theileriidae.